Molecule: ribosomal RNA, 272 nt
Filed under: uncultured Anaplasma sp.
Lineage: Bacteria; Pseudomonadati; Pseudomonadota; Alphaproteobacteria; Rickettsiales; Anaplasmataceae
Description: partial 16S ribosomal RNA
Rfam family: Bacterial small subunit ribosomal RNA
Source: RNAcentral
UACGGGGGUGGCGAGCGUUACUCGGAUUCAUUGGGUGUAAAGGGCAGGUAGGCGGUUAUGUAAGUUAGAGGUGAAAUCCUAAGGCUCAACCUUAGAACUGCCUCUAAUACUGCAUGACUUGAGGCCAGAAGAGGAGAGCGGAAUUCCCGGUGUAAGGGUGAAAUCUGUAGAUAUCGGGAGGAACACCAGUGGCGAAAGCGGCUCUCUGGUCUGGCCCUGACGCUAAGCUGCGAAAGCUAGGGGAGCAAACAGGAUUAGAAACCCCGGUAGUC